GACGAACGCUGGCGGCGUGCUUAACACAUGCAAGUCGAACGGAAAGGCCCUGCUUUUGUGGGGUGCUCGAGUGGCGAACGGGUGGGUAACACGUGAGUAACCUGCCCUUGACUUUGGGAUAACUUCAGGAAACUGGGGCUAAUACCGGAUAGGAGCUCCUGCUGCAUGGUGGGGGUUGGAAAGUUUCGGCGGUUGGGGAUGGACUCGCGGCUUAUCAGCUUGUUGGUGGGGUAGUGGAUUACCAAGGCUUUGACGGGUAGCCGGCCUGAGAGGGUGACCGGCCACAUUGGGCCUGAGAUGCGGCCCGGACUCCUACGGGAGGCAGAGGUGGGGAAUAUUGCACGAUGGGCGGAAGCCUUAUGCAGCAACGCCGCGUGCGGGAUGACGGCCUUAGGGUUGUAAACCGCUUUCGCCUGUGACGAAGCGUGAGUGACGGUAAUGGGUAAAGAAGCACCGGCUAACUACGUG
Molecule: ribosomal RNA, 468 nt
Filed under: uncultured bacterium
Lineage: Bacteria
Description: partial 16S ribosomal RNA
Rfam family: Bacterial small subunit ribosomal RNA
Source: RNAcentral